Molecule: long non-coding RNA, 13674 nt
Filed under: Lynx pardinus (Iberian lynx)
Lineage: Eukaryota; Metazoa; Chordata; Mammalia; Carnivora; Felidae
Source: RNAcentral
GAGGGGGAAGGAGGGCCCAGUAGAGCCUCUACGACCCUUGGCUGCCUCCUCACCAGUUCCCCCUCCCCCCCCAAGUCCUGUAAGAAGUUGGGCCAAGCUGGAAGGGAUUGACCGGGUAAGUGUCCAGACUUGACUCUUGUACUCAGGGUGGAGGCGGACUUGGAUGGAGGAAGACUGGGCCCUAACCCUGGGCCACUCGGGCUGGCAGGGGAACAGGGGUCUUUCAGGAGGGACCCCAACUCCUAAUCAAGAAGGAAGGUCAGCUGGGCCCCUGGAGAGAGGGAGCCCUUGAUAAGUAUAGAGAAGACUGAGGUUGAGAGAAAACCUUUGAAAUUGAGCUGAUUUUUUUUUUUUUUUGGUCUUAGUGGGUGGCAGAGCUGAAUUGGGAUUUGGGCCAGGAGCCAGGGGAUCUGAGCAGGCCUGUACCACUCCCAAAAGGCCAGGAGCCUCCUAACACGACUUAGGCCUAAACUGCUUUCCCUGAAGAGGUUUCUAGAGGCUUUUCUGGCUGGCUGGUGGAAGGCCAGGGUAGAGUCCAGCUCGGCCUUUCCCUUACUCCAGCCCCGUGUGGGAUUUCUGGGCCUCCCAGUCCCCCAGACGGGGGAAAGCCUAUCCCUUGGCCCAAGUACCGCUGACCAAGCCAGGGAUGUAGGUGGCUAAGAGAGGCUGCUGGCAAGCACCCUGCUUUCCCUUCCCUACACCCCAGAUCUGUCAAGAAUGGUCUAGGGUGUGCCCAGUGAUGGGAGAGGCAGGCCCCCAGAGAAAAGACAAGUGGGAGGGCAGUGGAGUAGGGGAAACAUUUAUUUGACUUCAAGGAAAGCUACAAACAAAUACCAAAAGCGAAUCACUGAGACAGGCCCGGCAAAGGCAAAGACAGAUUUCACACGUAGCACAGCAUCCACUCACUCACUACAAAUGGUCUUAGAAGCGAACUGGGGGUGGGGGGUGGGGAGGGGAUGGGUCUGACCCAGACUAUCCCCCUAUUUACAAGGUUUGGGCCCUCUACUCCAGACCCAUGGACUCACAGAGAAAUACACAAGACAUUUUACACUGAGGAUUAUUUUUGUUUCCCUACACUCCCAGGCCAGGCCUUGUGGGGCCUACCCAGGCGGCAGGAACCUUACUCUCAAGGUUUACCUUCCCUCUUCUCCAUAUCACCCUCUUUGGCCCUCCCUGCCCCCUUCCCACCCCAGGACCAAGCCACUGGGAGACUUGGGCCUGGGGAGUGGGGAGGGAGGAGGAGGAGGGUGGAAAGAGACAGUCAUGGACUCCAUCGCGGAGGCCAGCUCAGCUGGGCCAGGGCGCUGCGGCACUACCCCACCUCAACUGCUGCCCCUUAGAGAAGUUUCAAGCUGAAACUCAAAAUACAGCGAUCAUCCUUUUAUAAAUAAGUUAGAAGAACACAGAUGGGGAGGGGAAAGUUCACAUUAAACAUGCGAGUUUCUUUCUUUCCUGGGGGAAGGAGUGCAACCACAGACACGAACAUUCAGAAAUACUGGCGGAUUUGGGGUGAGUGGAGGGGCGUGGGGAGCAUGGAGGGAAAAUAAUAAUAAUUAUUAUUAUUAACAAUAAUAACAAGAUUAACCAGUCCAGGAGAGAGGGAGCCACAGGAAGACCUAAGACCGAACGAAAAAUCGUAACACAAGGCCGGGGCGAGGCAGGCUCGUGGGAACCGGUCCCCAGCGGGCAGUGGCAGCGCAGGGAGGCUUGGAGGGGCCAGGGCUGGGGGCGGCAAGGGCUCUCGGGCCACCCAGGGCUCCUCCCGGCGGGCUCAGGGCUGGAAGGCGCUGCCGGCUGUAGCCAGGCUCAUACUUUUCAGUUUGUUGUCUUUCUUCCACUUCAUGCGCCGGUUCUGGAACCAGAUCUUGAUCUGGCGCUCGGACAGGCAGAGCGCGUGGGCGAUCUCGAUGCGCCGCCGCCGCGUCAGGUAGCGGUUGAAGUGGAACUCCUUCUCCAGCUCUAGGGUCUGGUAGCGGGUGUACGCGGUCCGGGCCCUUUUCCCGUCCGGCCCGGUCAUAUCUGGAGCAGACAGAGUAGAGCCGCGAGGCAAUGUUAUUCCGGUUAAGGGAGGGGGGCACUGGAUGGGAGAGGGGCGUGGAGCAGGACCCAGGCGUCCCUGGCACCCAGCUCACCGCAGCUCCAAUCCUCCCCACUCCAGACGCCCGCAUCCGAGCUCGCUUCUGCACCCCCUUCUCCUGCAGCCCCCACUUCUGCCGGCAGUGAAUGCGCCCGGCUUUGUCUCUUGCUCCCUCCCUGUGCCUCACCCUUCGCUGGGCUCAGGCGGCCGCUCGCCCCGGGAGGGAGGAGAGCGGCUGCACUUUUGCCCUGGAAAGCUCGUUUUACUGCUCGCCCCUCCUUUGCUAGCAGCAGCCUCAAAAUUUCGGGGGUAAGCACGACCCUUCCCCACGUUACAUAAACCCCAUCCUUCAUCCUAUAGCUAGUACAGCUGGGCGAAUAAAACCUUAGCCGAAUCUGGAGACAAAUGAUUAAAAAUACUCCUCCCCAGCUAAAGACCUAGACCUUCUUUGGCUCUAUCCCCCGAGCUGUGAGGACCCUCUUAGAGACUUCUCCCCCCCCCCCCCCCCCAACCUCCCCAAACGCAGAGAAGGAAAGCCGGGGGAAGACAAAAAAGGGAGCGAAAGCGACAAUUACCAUGGCUGAUGUGAAGCUUCCUCAUCCAGGGGAAUAUCUGCGGAGUCUGCCCCUCGGGCGCGGCUGUGGAGGUGGCCAUGGGCUCUGGCUGUGCCCGAGCUAGGCUCGGGCUGCUUAGCUGGCUCGCCGCUUCCUCAGGCUCCGAGGAUGCGCUGGCCUCGUCUAUUUCGGUGAAAUUGGCGCUGGAGCUGGCCGGGGUCGCCUGGUCGGAGGGGGACGAAGCAGAGGGCUUGGCGCUGUGGCUGUCGCCGUUGGUGCAGGGCAGGGACUCGGGCGAGGACAGGGAGCAGCUCGACGCCGCCUGCCUGAAGCGGGGCUCCUGGGCGGGCGCGGGGAAGGCGCGCGAGCUCUCGCCCACCGCCCCAAAGUGGCUGGAGGAGGCCGAGGAGCGGUUGACGCUGAGGUCCAUCCCAUUGUAAUUGUAGCCGUAAGAGCCGGUGUGCAUGGCAGCGGGAUCCCUGUAAGAGCCGCUCAGAGAGCUGCCACUGCCAUAAUUUAGCAACUGAUAGUCCGGGCCAUUUGGAUAACGCCCCGAGAAGGAGUUUACAAAGUACGAGCUCAUUUGGGUGAUUUUGGAGGGCUUGAUUUGUGGAUCGUGGUCGUUAUAACCCUGUGCUUCACGAUUUAUGAUGUAUUAAUGAAUUAUAGCGAUGCACUGUACUUCGUUUUGCUAUGUAUGCGGCCAAAUAUGGGGGGGGGGUUGGAAGGGGGAUGGGGGGGCGUUAGAGAAUCACGUGCUUUUGUUGACCAGUCGUAAAUUCUCGCUGAUGACCUCAAGAGGUAAUUCAUGCUCUAUGGUUACAAAUAAUGACGAUCCGAGAAUCGUUAGGGCCGAUUCAAUGCGAGCCUCCGAGAGAGGGGGAAAAAAGGAGAAGGGGGAGAAACCGGGAGAAGGUUGGCGGCGGCCUCUGAGCAGAGCGCGCCACCUCCCGGCGAUCGGCGGGAGCGCGGGCCGCAGACUGCCAUGGCGGCGACCGCUGCCUCCCUGCUGGCUCCCUGCAAACGCCGGGCGAGAAAAGAAACCUGGGCCAGGCUCACCCGCAGAGUUGAGUCUUUUAGAGGAGGGACCCAGUUGAGCCUUUACCCACUUUCUUGAAAGUGGUGUUAGACUACUGGUGUCCUUCUCCUUGUCAUUAUUAUUAUUAUUAUUAUUAUAUUUUCACUCUGGAUGAGAUGAUCAAAAACUGAGUCGCUUUUCCCUCAUGUGGGCUUUGCAAGUCUCCGAGUUGGGGAAGGAAAUGGUGGGGGGAGGGUUGGAAGAUGUGUGAAAAACAAUUAUUGCAAUGCGUUUCCCCCUGAGUUCAGCCCGGCCUGCUUCCUGCCUGGACUGCUGUGGCCCAUGCAUAGCGUCCAGGCGGAGCUGGCAGGGCUGGGCCGAGGGUUCCACGGAGAAGCUUUCACUUCUGUGCCCUUUAGAAGUUUGGAAUCCUCCUCCUGACUUCCUCUUCAUCCUUAGCCCAGGCCCGGAAAAUGGCAAAGCAGGACAGGGACCUCAGAGGAGGAACAGGGCUGGGGCUAAGCGGCCUAGUUUAGGGGAAAACGGCAGCAGAGUAGGUGCCUGGGGUUUGGGGUUCUGCGAGUCUGGGAUGAAGGCAAGACCCUUUCACCAGAUGCCCGCUAUUGCAUUGGGAGGCCCCACUGAAGGCCCCUUGCUGGCAUCUGGGUAGUUUCAGAAUGUGCUCCGAGGCCCACAUCUUCCCUGGAAAGGGGUUCCGAGGACCAGCGGCGCCUUGCUGAGCAUGCUGGGCGGCCAAAGACCGCCGCAGCUGGGCUCCUUCUGCCGGAUGGCUAUUUUCUUUAAAAAUAAAAAAGCGAGAGAGAGGGAGGAGGAAGAAAGGAAAACAGUGUCCGCAGAUUGCUGCCUGGGUGAGGGUGGGGGUGGGGAGAGAAUGGGUCGUUUUUUUGGUUGAGGGCAUGAGACCAAAAUGCCCCAUCACCUGGCCUCCUGCCCUCAAGUGUCCAAGGAGCAGGGGAAAGUCGUGCCCUCCACCCCGCGCCCGCCGGCGCCUUCAAAUUCCCCUACUUGUCGAUGAGCUCCUGCUUGAGGCAGGAAGGGGCGCCUGGAGCCUUCAGCUGCGCGCGGAGAGAUACCCGGUGGCCCCGAUUUUAGUCUCCAGAGGCACGGGCCGGGAGCCGAGGGCCAAGGCCGGAGGAGGUCAGGCCAUGUGGACAGGCCAAAGGCUACCGGCUUCGCGAUCGUGAGGACAGCAAGGCGCUGCUGAGGCGCCAGACCCUCCUGGCUGUCUCUGCAGGGGCUCCGGGCUCGGGCCUCGAUCGUCCCUCGUGCCACGGACAAACGAGGAAAAGCUAGAGAAUGAGAGGGAAACGGCCCUUCUCCGUCCCCCAAGUGUGCACCAGGAGAGGCUGUUUGGAGCCGCAGCACUGGCGAGGCGCGGCGCGGGAGCCUGGGCGGGACCGCUCCAGCCUUUAUCUCAACUGUAACUUCCGAGUCGUGUCGGGCCCGCUGGGGCCGACCAGGGCUCCAGCCUUUGCUGCGGAGUUUCCGGCACUGGGACGAUGGGGUGGCCUUGGGGGUGGGGGAGUGGCAGGGGAGGAGCAGAGGUGACCGAGCGGCGAGUUUUAACGUCUUUAUUAUUAUCAUCAUCAUCAUUAUUAAUAAUAUUAAUAUUAUUACCGAAGUAUUUCACGUCCAGAGCUAAGACAAGACUACAAACACAACACAUAGAAAAUUAAUAAAAUAGAACUUUGUUUUCUUCUGAGGCUCCUCUUCUUACUUCUAGGUAGUAUGUGCUCCUUCCAGUGGCUUUAGGGAGGGGGUGGGAGAGAGGUCUGGGGUCAGGGAGUCUUCGAGGCCCCCGCUGAGGGGACUGCGAAUCUACCAUUGAACCGUGCACCGGGGACAUGGACGAAAUGAGACGCGACACGGACAAGAGCAUUUUGCUCUGCUUCCAGGAAACAUCAAGUGAGUCCGGUCCUCAGUUCUCACAGGGGAGCCUGAUGGGGCUGAAGCGGGUCCCGCAGGGAUGGAGGGGGCGCUCAGGGUGCUGGGUGGGCUCAGGCGGCAGGGCCUCCCAGCACCCAAUGAGAGCUCUGCGGGCGGGGGCGUCCAGAGAGCGCUGGGGCCCCCCCGCACGUGUCGUGCGCUAGAGAGCAGGUCCCCCGGGUCCCCCGCCCGCAGAGCCUUCUCGGGGCUCUCCGAGGCCCUCGGCUCCCCACAGGCCGCUCCCUUCGCGUCCCCCCUCCCUUUCCAACGCCUUCACUCCGCUGGUUUUUCUUCCUCCUCCUCGGCACUGAGCUGAGACGCGCUGAGCAGUUUGCUCUCCUUUUUCCACUUCAUGCGCCGGUUCUGGAACCAGAUCUUGAUCUGCCGCUCGGUCAGGCACAGGGCGUGCGCGAUCUCGAUGCGCCGCCGCCGCGUCAGGUAGCGAUUGUAGUGAAACUCUUUCUCCAGCUCCAGCGUCUGGUAGCGCGUGUAGGUCUGGCGGCCGCGUCGGCCGCUGGGCCCAAAGGAGGAACCUGUUACGCAGAGAGAAGAUGCUGAGGCCUGGGGUCAGCGGGGCCAGAACCCCCUCCCCCACUCGACCCUCAGACAUGGACUCUAGCCUGUCCCGGGAUGCCCUCCGCUCUCCGAGAGUUCCCUGCUCCCCCCCCCCGCCCCCCUCUUUCACUCCUCCAGCGCCCCCUCCAGAUUCCCUCCGGGUCUCCCAGGCCUGUGCCUCUGGUCUAGACUCCAGGUGGGGGAUGGGAGGAGGGCUUAAAAUCCCACCUGAGCCGAGGGGGAGGGGCUGGGGAAGCACUGGCCAGGUGUGUCUCUUCCUAGCCUCAUCUUUUCUUUCCAUCUAUCUGGCUCCCCCACCACCCUGUGAUAGAUUCCAGCCCUUAAUCCGUAAUGACGUGGAUCGAUCCAUAGUCGGCAUUAACGGCUCCUCACUUUCGUGUCCCGCUAAUGGACAUCAAUUUGGGACUUCAGGCCGACAAAUAAUCCAACCUGAGACCCAGGCGCCUGCUUCUCCCUCUCUCCCCCUCCGCCUGCCUGCGCCUGCUCCCUCUCCCUUUCUUCCCCUUAUUCGCCCUCCCUCCUCUGACUACCACCCCUUUCCUGGUGCCUCCUCCCUCCCCAGCCCCGGGCCCCCAGGGAAACACAGUCCGGGACAGACUCAACUCUCCCUCGCCAGCGUCACGCCGCCCCCCUUCCUAUGACGCACUCCGUUUUUAAUGGAACCGUCUUCGGGUGGGGGACCCGACCAGGGCUGGGGGCACGAGGGAAAGCCACGCCAGUGGCUGCGGCCCCUGCCCCCUCCCCUGCCCCGGAAUCCGGCUCUGGCGUGGCGCUCCGGGAGAGCCCACUCGCUCCCCCUGGCUCCCAGUGCAGCUGGGACUUUGCAAACUUUGUAACUCCUGAGGGCCAGAGGACAGAGCGGGAGACCCGGGGCAGGCGCCCAGUCCUCCCUUAGCUCCUAACUGAGAUGCCCACCCAGCACCCCGGGGGGGGGCGGGGGCGGGAAGGAGGUGGGGGCGCUACUUCUGUCCCCGGGGGUGGGGGCCCGCGGGGGUCGGGGCGGCCGCGGGAGGGCUCACUCACUGUUGCACGAAUUCAUCCGCUGCAUCCACGGGUAGACCGGAGUGGAGCACUUCUGCUCCUCCGCCUCGCCGAACACGCUCUUGUCCUGCGCACAGUCUGACUUCCGCGGCUCAGGGUGGAACCGGGGCGGCUCUUCGGCGCCCGAGAGCGCGCAGGCCGACUCCUUCUCGCGGUAGAAGGCCGGCGCCGGCCCGUAGUCGCAGGGCGCCGCUCGGCCGUAGCCGCCGCCAGCGGGCGGGUAAUAGGAGGAAGCGGCAAAGCCCUUGUCCUGGCCGGGCCCGGGCCCGUAGGGCGCGGGGUAGUGCCUCAGCGGGUCCGCAUAGCCCGACGAGUAGAGCGGUAGCUGGCCCAGGAAGGACUCCUGCCCGCUGGCCAGAGUGACGGGGAAGGUGGAGUUCACGAAAUAGGAACUCAUUGGGAGGGGAGGCGCGCUCGGCCGCUGCUGCUCCGCCGGGUUUAUGAUUUGUUGUGUUUUAUAGUCCGAGCGCCGCGCCUAUUAGUAGUAUAUCUGAGAUUGGGUUUUAGCUGAGGGGGGAUGGCGAGGUGCCAGUGAGGGCCAGAAGGAAAUACAACCAUCUGAUCCAACACUGACCAAUGGCAGAGGCAGGAAUUGUCAAAUAGCACCCAGGAGGAGCGCAGCCCGCGCGAGGGACCCGCGCACAAACCUAUCAACCUUUUUUUUUUCCCUCCUUCUUCUCCUUCUCCUCUCUCUCUCUCUCUCUCUCUCCCCGACAACACAACGCGUCCUGUUCCACCUACGUAGGAUCUGCGAAAGAGGCGUCUGUGCCUUGGAGGGAGGAGGGAGCAUUUGGAUUGAGACCACCCCAUCCCCCAGUGAUUAAAUAAAUAUAUCCCUCCCCUCCCCACGCAGGAUAGGAAAAAGUUAAUUGUGUUUUCAGAAAAGUUAACCCCUGCGUGGCUUGAGCCCCGUUCCCUCAAGGGAAGGGUGGGUAAAUGUCCCCCGAAUGAAUCUCCGCGUGGUGAGGAGAGAACUGAAGGAAAAGGUUUGUUUCUAGGGUUUUGUGUAGUUAGAGAAGGAGAAGAGUUCACUGUUUAGCAUCGCUUUCAGAAAGAGAGGCGAAGAAGAGGAAGCACUCUCCUUCCCAGGUGAAAACUGUUUUUCCUGCUUCUCAGGUCUACUCUGUCUCCUCCAAGCCUGGGUUUAUUAUUCUCGCUUCUACACAAUUCUUAUGGUCUGAAGGGCAGGCCAGAGCCCAGAGGACCCAGAAGUCUGGGAAAUAGGCGGGUCUGAGCCCAAGGUUCUCCCUCCGGCUCUGUGGCUAGGUUAAGCUAAGCGAGGCUAGGAGCUUCUUGGAAGGCUACGGCGGCUGCCCAAGACGUCCUGCCUGGUUCCAGCAUCUGCUGCUUGCUCUUGGAAUGGGAAGGGGCACUGGGGAAAGGGAAUAGCCUUCUCUUCACUUGUGGGAUAGGGAGAGGAAGAGGAAGGGACAUCCCCCAGCCUAGGUUCCCCUGAUCCCUACCCUGCCUGCAACACUCACUCCACCCCCACCCCCUACCCCCCAAAUCAUUAGAAUAUCCUGGGCUACAGAUUCUUAAGAAUCAAAGAUAUCUCAGUACGUCUGGGUACAGGGAAGAAAUUGUUCCCCCUCCAAUCUGGGUCCUCAAAACUGCCUAAUAUUUGAGGCAAUCAGAGACAGCCGGGAAGAGAGGGGACCUUGCUCCUUUUCCAGGUCUCUCCAGAAGCUGGCAGGUCUCUUUAAAAUGAAUUUUUUCCCAAGACUCGGUUUGGGCUUAGUUUUAUAAGGAGGGAGAGGUGUUCAGGUCCUCCUGGGGACUCAGCAGGCAGCUUACAACUAUCAGCCCGAAUCCCCUCUCCAGAGGCUCACCACCCUUCUGUCAGACUCUCAGUGUCUCUCCAGUCCCUCCCACAUCUCAUAUUUGUAUCACCAGCUUUGCUGCUGCACAGGCUUGAGUGUGAGAAAGAGUGCUCAUCUCUGUUCCUCUCUCUCUUUCUCUCCCUCUCUCUCUCUCUCUCUCAUCUAAGGAAAAUGAGCCUUGAAGCCAGGCUGGAAGACUGAAUCACAAUGUUUUCAACAUUCUAACUAUGCACAUGGAAGCCAGGCACUAAAGGUCGAUAAUGUUCAGACCUGAGUUCAGGAAUGAGUCAGGAUGUGUGACAAAAUCUGAUGAUGAAGGGGCCAGCUGACUGUCUGCUAUCUCAUACUUUGGGUUCCUUUUUGUGGGCCAGGUUUGCCCACUAAAGAUGACACAAGAUACUAGGGAAAGUGGUUGGGAUACUAGGGAAAGGGCUGAGCUUGGUGACCAAAAGUGGGAAAUUGGUUGGUUGCACAGUGGCCUACAAGGAUCCCGGAACUCGGGAAUGCUUCUAGGCUAUACCUUCAUGGCCACAUAGUGAUCCCUGGAUGUCCCACCAAUCACUUCCUAGCCCAACUUGGGGGGGGGGGAAGGGGGUUAUCAAAAUUUAAGAAAAUAAACUCAAGUCUUCUAAUGAUGAAGAAUCCUAAGUGCCCCAAUCUAGCUGUGAUUGGGCCAACUCCUAGAGAGGAAUAGGGAACAUUUGGGCUGGGGGAGCAAGGUCAGGAGGGUGCCUGUAUGCACCUCCCUCCUCCUUGCCACUGAGGCUAGGCCUUGGGCCAUAUCUGUCCUGCCUCCUCCCUGGUCACAGUGUCCCCUUCCUAGAAAUGCACAAUGUGGGCUUUGCUGUGGAGUCGAGACUAAGUAGGAUGCUGUAAGACAGGGAGACUUCCCUGAUACAGAAGCAUGAAAAUAAUCUCCUUAUCCUUAGAGCCACAGCCCCAAAUUAACCUCACCUCUGCAGGUUGCCUGUCACGAGAUGGAGCCCGAAGCAGGGCCUGGGCGCCUGGAGUCCAGCAUGAAAAGAAAUAGCGCCUCAUCGCUCUUAUCUAAGCCCAGAGGUAUUUAUGAGCGUUUAUUCGUCUGAUCCGUUUGUUUGGGAGAAAGAGCAGACAGGGCCCGGCCAGAGGCCGCCUGGUCUCUGGAGCCAGAUCUCUACGAAUCUGUCUGUGGUUCGGUCCACUGCCGUCUGUCUGUCUCCAAGGGGGAAUAUGUAAAUACCCAGCAGGCACAGCCGUCUGCCAGUCUGGGGUGUCUCUCCCAGCCUCAUUGAGGAAGUGUGUAUAUAGAGAGAUGGAUAUAAAUGUGUACCAAGUCUUGACUACGCAACAGAAGGAUUGUACAGAAACCCCACAGGCAGAAUUUAUAAUUGUAAUAUUCUAUGCUGUAGAUCCGAGCUCCUCUGGAUGUGCACGCAUUUUCAUUUCCCAGGGAAAUGUCCGAGUUGUGCUCAGCAACUGAGUAAAAUUCUCCUGCACCGGUAACCUCAGGGAGGGGUUUUUGCCUGUAUGUGUACGGAGGAGAGGAGGAUUGAGACACUGUCCAAGUUUCCCAUUUCCUCACAGCUACAAAGCUCCCCCCACCUCCGGCUGAUUGGGUUGUGGACAUCUUCCCCCAGCCCACUCCCAAUUCUGGCUGGGAUGGAGCGAAUGAAAAUAACUUGACUCGAUUCUUCCCCUAGACUCUGUGAUUCUCUGAAUUUGGGAAACAUAAAUGUUCCCAGAGGGAGUUCCCAACCUAGGGGAGCUGUUUACUAGGGAUAUUGCCUUAAAAUUAGCCCGCCCAAAGCGCCGGUACAAAGACCUCAUUUCCAUUAUGCAAAUGAACGGCACCGUCUCUGAUCUUGGGGGGUGGGAUGGGCGGUGACGCUCAGCUCACUCUCCCUGUUCCAGGCACCCAGGUCCAUGGGCACCCCAGGAGCCCCAAAGUGUUUCAACCCCCUGUACCAGCCACCUUCCCUCCCUACCUGUCCUUCGGAUUGCUCACAAGAAAGAGGGGCCCGAGACUUUCCGGGCAGGCUCCCUCGGGGCCUCCGCACUGGGCCGGGCCUUCUGGCCUCGGAAAGUCACUCUUUCUGCCCAAAUGCUGAAAGGGCAGCUCUCCUGUGGUCCAGACUCUGGAGGCGCCACAGCCGCUGGGUUUGCCCCCCAGCACCGCCGGCCCCCCUCCACCUCGGCAGUUCUGGCCCAGACCCUAGUAACACCUCGGCCUGCCUGGCACCGCAGGCAAUUUCCUGGAGCCCCCGCCCAGGAACUGGGGCCACAGCACCUUGAAAGGAGCGGCCAGAGCUUCCUCCUGCGGCUUGAAAGCCCGAGCUAAUCAGUAACCCGUGAGACAGGGGCCAAUAUUCAAACUCGGCAGCGGAGGCCCCGUACCCCUGCCCUCGCCACCCCCUUCUGGGAGAGCAGUCGGGUUAAGCGGGUGUGAGGGGUCCUGCAAGAACGGAAAUCACAAUGGUCUGGUUCCUUAAUGAUUGAUCCCUGCUCCCACUCCCAAUUUUUACCCAAAGCAUAUUUGUGUCGAUUUUGCUUGAAACGGUCGAGAAUGGGGGAGGGGACCCACACUCACUUGCAGACACCAACAGUUUCCAGAAAAUUCGGCUCAAUUCCUUCACCACGGACUCACCGGCCAACCCGGAGAACACAGACCCGGUCUGUCUUUAGACAGCCGAGUGGAACUGCGGGACCGGCGCCUCCCCUGCUGGCCCCCUCCUUUGGCCGAAAAGAAAACCAAAUAAACCUUGAACAGCCUUGGCCUCGCAUCUCCCGAGCGGCCCGGAUGAUCCCCUCUGUAGCCUUGGAGGGGUAGGAGGGUGAGGACUCUCGACUCUGAUCCCCCAACCCUUUGGUUCAGGGCCCCCUGCCCGCGGGAUGCAGUAUUAGUCCUUUUUAAAUAUGUCCUAGAAAAAGCCGCUUUCCCAGCCAGCCGCUGGGUUUGGAGCUGGAAUGGGGCGGGCCAGGAGGAAGGGACACUUGUUUUCUAAUCCACACGCGGAAUGGCGGGUACCAAGAUCCAGCGGAAAGCGACAAUCUGGGCCCGAAGUCCCCGCAACCCGCCGAACCUGAGCAGCAGGGGCUCCGGGCGUCGCGCACGGUUCAGGCAGUGAGUGUCGCCCGGCUUGCGGCGCCGAAGCCGCAUGUCUCCGAACGGACGGUAGAUGGCAGCAAACCGCAUAAUUUGGGUCAGAGCAAACUGUCUAAGGGAUGAUUUAUAACCACACCAAGACUACAGGAGAAAAAGACCUUCAGUCUGGAUGGGUUUGGGGAAUUUUUCCUUUGAGAAUAGGCCCCGAGUACCGUGGGUGCUGGCCGAGAACUUCUCUCGCUGCGUAGCCGAGGGUCCCCGCAGGUACCCAGUCCGGGCCUGCUUCUAGGCAUCUACCUGUGCCUCCAGGGACCCCCUUCCCGCGCCACAAGUGGCCUGCAUCCCUCUCUUCCCAGCUCAGGAUCCAGAAUGCCAAUAUCCCCCUACCGACCCCCAUCCCCCGCGAUCCCUGGGCCACCAGAGGCCCCAGGCCGAACGCUCUGCAUUUGGUCUUUAAAAAGAGGAAAGCAGUCACCUAUUCGUGCAAACCAAACUAAAUCAUAGUCUCUCCUGCCCUCCACGCCCCAAACCGCUUAUCUCUCCGCUGGCAGCUUCCCCGGAAGCCCUCCCACUCACUCUGUUUUUAGGUUCUCACCAGCUUUCCCCUUCUUCCACCCCACCAGCUACUUUAGGAAUUUCGGUCUCCCUCCCAACGAUCCUUCUCCCCCCCUCCUCCCCACCCCCAGGAGGCCUGGCUGGAGAAUGAAAUCAGGCGCCGGAGGGACAGGACUAGCUGUCUGAGCUCAGCGCCAGGCAGCUCUCCAGUCCGGACACCAUCAGGUUCCCUAACUGGGUUUUCUUUUUGAUUUUCUUCUGCUGCUUCUUCUUCUUCUCUCUCUGUCCCUCCCUGUUUUGUUUUUGUUUUUGUGUACAAGCCUCAAACACAACAACACACUCCACAGCUUCUUCACAAUCACCACGAUUGGAUCCGGGGAAAGUUUGAGGUGCUCCCACCUGAGACACACACAUGGCAAUUUCCUCCACCGAAAUCCACACACCCAUAAAACACAAGUAAUAGAAUCAAUAUUGCACAGACACCAACACGCUGUGACCUACCGCGUUAAAAACCACAAAACUGUCUCCCUGCAGAGCGACGCUCCCUCCUGCGGGAGUGGCGACAGACCUGGGCAUUCUCAGGCUGGCUUCCUGGGGGGAGGGGGUCUCCCUCGAUGUUGGUGCCUCCACCCACAGCCCUUGAAUUUCAAAAAUGUCUCCGUAAGGGAGAUAAUGAGCAUUUCUCUGUGAAUUGUUCUUUCUGUGUCCCUCUAGCCGCCGCCUCCUCGCCCUCGCGGGCCUCUGCGGACAUUCCAGGCCCUCCAGAGACCAGAACGUCCCUCGGCACCACCUCCCCUUGUGCCAAUGCCGCCGGGAAACCGCCGAUACCCAUGCCGGGCAAGAGAACUGCGCGGGGGGCAACUGGGGGAGGCCGGAACAAGGGGGGGGGUGGGAGGGGGAGGGGGCGCGCACCCACAGAGGCCAUAGCGACAGGCUUCUAGGGCGCCCUGGAGCCCUGGCGCCCUGGAGCCCAGACGCCCCCAUCGUCUCCUUUGCAGCCCCCU